RNAcentral lists this ribosomal RNA (242 nucleotides) under uncultured Staphylococcus sp. Its description in RNAcentral is "partial 16S ribosomal RNA". It matches the Rfam family "Bacterial small subunit ribosomal RNA", at positions 98 to 334 of the family's 1533-position model. Lineage: Bacteria; Bacillati; Bacillota; Bacilli; Caryophanales; Staphylococcaceae. The record is from RNAcentral.
GCGGACGGGUGAGUAACACGUGGAUAACCUACCUAUAAGACUGGGAUAACUUCGGGAAACCGGAGCUAAUACCGGGUAAUAUAUUGAACCGCAUGGUUCAAUAGUGAAAGACGGUUUUGCUGUCACUUAUAGAUGGAUCCGCGCCGCAUUAGCUAGUUGGUAAGGUAACGGCUUACCAAGGCAACGAUGCGUAGCCGACCUGAGAGGGUGAUCGGCCACACUGGAACUGAGACACGGUCCAG